Molecule: ribosomal RNA, 443 nt
Filed under: uncultured bacterium
Lineage: Bacteria
Description: partial 16S ribosomal RNA
Rfam family: Bacterial small subunit ribosomal RNA
Source: RNAcentral
CCUACGGGUGGCAGCAGUGGGGAAUAUUGGGCAAUGGACGCAAGCCUGACCCAGCAACGCCGCGUGAAGGAAGAAGGCCCUCGGGUUGUAAACUUCUUUUAUUCGGGACGAAACAAAUGACGGUACCGAAUGAAUAAGCCACGGCUAACUACGUGCCAGCAGCCGCGGUAAUACGUAGGUGGCAAGCGUUAUCCGGAUUUACUGGGUGUAAAGGGCGUGUAGGCGGGAGAGCAAGUCAGACGUGAAAUUCCAGGGCUCAACCCUGGAACUGCGUUUGAAACUGUUGGUCUUGAGUAUCGGAGAGGCAGGCGGAAUUCCUAGUGUAGCGGUGAAAUGCGUAGAUAUUAGGAGGAACACCAGUGGCGAAGGCGGCCUGCUGGACGACAACUGACGGUGAGGCGCGAAAGCGUGGGGAGCAAACAGGAUUAGAUACCCUAGUAGUC